ACCCUUGUCUUUUGCGCACUUGUUGUUUCCUGGGCGGGUUCGCCCGCCGCCAGGACCACACCAUAAACCUUUUUUUAUGCAGUUGCAAUCAGCGUCAGUACAACAAAUGUAAAUCAUUUACAACUUUCAACAACGGAUCUCUUGGUUCUGGCAUCGAUGAAGAACGCAGCGAAAUGCGAUACGUAGUGUGAAUUGCAGAAUUCAGUGAAUCAUCGAAUCUUUGAACGCACAUUGCGCCCUUUGGUAUUCCAAAGGGCAUGCCUGUUCGAGCGUCAUUUGUACCCUCAAGCUUUGCUUGGUGUUGGGCGUCUUGUCUUUUGGCUCUUUGCCCAAAGACUCGCCUUAAAACGAUUGGCAGCCGGCCUACUGGUUUCGCAGCGCAGCACAUUUUUGCGCUUGCAAUCAGCAAAAGAGGACGGCACUCCAUCAAGACUCCUUCUCACGUUUGACCUCGGAUCAGGUAG
This 464-nucleotide ribosomal RNA is filed under the name Curvularia trifolii. Its description in RNAcentral is "eukaryotic LSU rRNA". The stretch from base 122 to 275 matches the Rfam family "5.8S ribosomal RNA". Lineage: Eukaryota; Fungi; Ascomycota; Dothideomycetes; Pleosporales; Pleosporaceae. The record is from RNAcentral.